RNAcentral lists this ribosomal RNA (274 nucleotides) under uncultured bacterium. RNAcentral describes it as "partial 16S ribosomal RNA". It matches the Rfam family "Bacterial small subunit ribosomal RNA", at positions 523 to 796 of the family's 1533-position model. The record is from RNAcentral.
AGACGAACCGGACAAACGUUAUUCGGAAUCAUUGGGCUUAAAGGGUGCGUAGGCGGUGCGGAAAGUUGGGUGUGAAAUCCCUCGGCUCAACCGAGGAACUGCGCUCAAAACUUCCGUGCUAGGGUGAGACAGAGGUGAGCGGAACUGAUGGUGGAGCGGUGAAAUGCGUUGAUAUCAUCAGGAACACCGGUGGCGAAGGCGGCUCACUGGGUCUCUACUGACGCUGAGGCACGAAAGCUUAGGUAGCGAACAGGAUUAGAAACCCCGGUAGUCC